Molecule: ribosomal RNA, 617 nt
Filed under: uncultured soil bacterium
Lineage: Bacteria
Description: bacterial SSU rRNA
Rfam family: Bacterial small subunit ribosomal RNA
Source: RNAcentral
AAUCAACGCUGGCGGCGUGCCUAACACAUGCAAGUCGAGCGAGAAAAGGGGAGCAAUCCUCUGAGUAAAGCGGCGCACGGGUGAGUAACACGUGGGUAAUCUGCCCUGGAGUGGGGAAUAACACCGGGAAACCGGUGCUAAUACCGCAUACGAUCACAGAGUCUGCGGAUUUUGUGAUGAAAGGAGCAAUUCGCUCUAGGAGGAGCCCGCGGCUGAUUAGCUAGUUGGUGAGGUAACGGCUCACCAAGGCAACGAUCAGUAUCCGGUCUGAGAGGACGGUCGGACACACUGGAACUGAGACACGGUCCAGACUCCUACGGGAGGCAGCAGUGGGGAAUUUUUGGCAAUGGGGGCAACCCUGACCAAGCAACGCCGCGUGGGUGAUGAAGUCUCUUGGGACGUAAAACCCUUUCGACGGGGACGAAAGCCGCAAGGUUUGACGGUACCCGUAGAAGAAGCCCCGGCUAACUCCGUGCCAGCAGCCGCGGUAAUACGGGGGGGGCAAGCGUUGUUCGGAAUUACUGGGCGUAAAGGGCGCGUAGGCGGUUCGCUAAGUCGGAUGUGAAAACUCUGGGCUCAACCCAGAGCCUGCAUCCGAAACUGGCGGGCUAGAGUUC